RNAcentral lists this ribosomal RNA (772 nucleotides) under uncultured bacterium. Its description in RNAcentral is "bacterial SSU rRNA". It matches the Rfam family "Bacterial small subunit ribosomal RNA", at positions 8 to 796 of the family's 1533-position model. The record is from RNAcentral.
AGAGUUUGAUCAUGGCUCAGAAUCAACGCUGGCGGCGUGCCUAACACAUGCAAGUCGAACGAGAAAGUGGAGCAAUCCAUGAGUAAAGUGGCGACCGGGUGAGUAACACGUGACUAAUCUACCCUUGAGUGGGGAAUAACCUUCCGAAAGGAGGGCUAAUACCGCAUAAAGUCCAGAGGCUGAAAUGCCAUUGGACCAAAGGAGUAAUUCGCUUAAGGAGGAGGUCGCGGUUGAUUAGCUAGUUGGUGGGGUAAUGGCCCACCAAGGCGAUGAUCAAUAGCCGGCCUGAGAGGGCGCACGGCCACACUGGAACUGAAACACGGUCCAGACUCCUACGGGAGGCAGCAGUGGGGAAUUUUGCGCAAUGGGGGAAACCCUGACGCAGCAACGCCGCGUGAAGGAUGAAGGUCUUUGGAUUGUAAACUUCUUUCGUCCGGGAAGAUAAUGACGGUACCGGAAUAAGAGGCCCCGGCUAACUUCGUGCCAGCAGCCGCGGUAAUACGAAGGGGGCGAGCGUUGUUCGGAAUUAUUGGGCGUAAAGGGAGCGUAGGCGGUUCGAUAAGUCACUUGUGAAAUCUCUGGGCUCAACUCAGAGUCUGCAAGCGAAACUGUCGGGCUUGAGUAUGGGAGAGGUGAGUGGAAUUCCUGGUGUAGCGGUGAAAUGCGUAGAUAUCAGGAGGAACACCUGUGGCGAAAGCGGCUCACUGGACCAUUACUGACGCUGAUGCUCGAAAGCUAGGGGAGCAAACAGGAUUAGAUACCCUAGUAGUCC